Molecule: ribosomal RNA, 2900 nt
Filed under: Escherichia coli 3-073-06_S3_C2
Lineage: Bacteria; Pseudomonadati; Pseudomonadota; Gammaproteobacteria; Enterobacterales; Enterobacteriaceae
Description: bacterial LSU rRNA
Rfam family: Bacterial large subunit ribosomal RNA
Source: RNAcentral
UAAGCGACUAAGCGUACACGGUGGAUGCCCUGGCAGUCAGAGGCGAUGAAGGACGUGCUAAUCUGCGAUAAGCGUCGGUAAGGUGAUAUGAACCGUUAUAACCGGCGAUUUCCGAAUGGGGAAACCCAGUGUGUUUCGACACACUAUCAUUAACUGAAUCCAUAGGUUAAUGAGGCGAACCGGGGGAACUGAAACAUCUAAGUACCCCGAGGAAAAGAAAUCAACCGAGAUUCCCCCAGUAGCGGCGAGCGAACGGGGAGCAGCCCAGAGCCUGAAUCAGUGUGUGUGUUAGUGGAAGCGUCUGGAAAGGCGCGCGAUACAGGGUGACAGCCCCGUACACAAAAAUGCACAUGCUGUGAGCUCGAUGAGUAGGGCGGGACACGUGGUAUCCUGUCUGAAUAUGGGGGGACCAUCCUCCAAGGCUAAAUACUCCUGACUGACCGAUAGUGAACCAGUACCGUGAGGGAAAGGCGAAAAGAACCCCGGCGAGGGGAGUGAAAAAGAACCUGAAACCGUGUACGUACAAGCAGUGGGAGCACGCUUAGGCGUGUGACUGCGUACCUUUUGUAUAAUGGGUCAGCGACUUAUAUUCUGUAGCAAGGUUAACCGAAUAGGGGAGCCGAAGGGAAACCGAGUCUUAACUGGGCGUUAAGUUGCAGGGUAUAGACCCGAAACCCGGUGAUCUAGCCAUGGGCAGGUUGAAGGUUGGGUAACACUAACUGGAGGACCGAACCGACUAAUGUUGAAAAAUUAGCGGAUGACUUGUGGCUGGGGGUGAAAGGCCAAUCAAACCGGGAGAUAGCUGGUUCUCCCCGAAAGCUAUUUAGGUAGCGCCUCGUGAAUUCAUCUCCGGGGGUAGAGCACUGUUUCGGCAAGGGGGUCAUCCCGACUUACCAACCCGAUGCAAACUGCGAAUACCGGAGAAUGUUAUCACGGGAGACACACGGCGGGUGCUAACGUCCGUCGUGAAGAGGGAAACAACCCAGACCGCCAGCUAAGGUCCCAAAGUCAUGGUUAAGUGGGAAACGAUGUGGGAAGGCCCAGACAGCCAGGAUGUUGGCUUAGAAGCAGCCAUCAUUUAAAGAAAGCGUAAUAGCUCACUGGUCGAGUCGGCCUGCGCGGAAGAUGUAACGGGGCUAAACCAUGCACCGAAGCUGCGGCAGCGACGCUGAUGCGUUGUUGGGUAGGGGAGCGUUCUGUAAGCCUGCGAAGGUGUGCUGUGAGGCAUGCUGGAGGUAUCAGAAGUGCGAAUGCUGACAUAAGUAACGAUAAAGCGGGUGAAAAGCCCGCUCGCCGGAAGACCAAGGGUUCCUGUCCAACGUUAAUCGGGGCAGGGUGAGUCGACCCCUAAGGCGAGGCCGAAAGGCGUAGUCGAUGGGAAACAGGUUAAUAUUCCUGUACUUGGUGUUACUGCGAAGGGGGGACGGAGAAGGCUAUGUUGGCCGGGCGACGGUUGUCCCGGUUUAAGCGUGUAGGCUGGUUUUCCAGGCAAAUCCGGAAAAUCAAGGCUGAGGCGUGAUGACGAGGCACUACGGUGCUGAAGCAACAAAUGCCCUGCUUCCAGGAAAAGCCUCUAAGCAUCAGGUAACAUCAAAUCGUACCCCAAACCGACACAGGUGGUCAGGUAGAGAAUACCAAGGCGCUUGAGAGAACUCGGGUGAAGGAACUAGGCAAAAUGGUGCCGUAACUUCGGGAGAAGGCACGCUGAUAUGUAGGUGAAGUCCCUCGCGGAUGGAGCUGAAAUCAGUCGAAGAUACCAGCUGGCUGCAACUGUUUAUUAAAAACACAGCACUGUGCAAACACGAAAGUGGACGUAUACGGUGUGACGCCUGCCCGGUGCCGGAAGGUUAAUUGAUGGGGUCAGCGCAAGCGAAGCUCUUGAUCGAAGCCCCGGUAAACGGCGGCCGUAACUAUAACGGUCCUAAGGUAGCGAAAUUCCUUGUCGGGUAAGUUCCGACCUGCACGAAUGGCGUAAUGAUGGCCAGGCUGUCUCCACCCGAGACUCAGUGAAAUUGAACUCGCUGUGAAGAUGCAGUGUACCCGCGGCAAGACGGAAAGACCCCGUGAACCUUUACUAUAGCUUGACACUGAACAUUGAGCCUUGAUGUGUAGGAUAGGUGGGAGGCUUAGAAGUGUGGACGCCAGUCUGCAUGGAGCCGACCUUGAAAUACCACCCUUUAAUGUUUGAUGUUCUAACGUUGACCCGUAAUCCGGGUUGCGGACAGUGUCUGGUGGGUAGUUUGACUGGGGCGGUCUCCUCCUAAAGAGUAACGGAGGAGCACGAAGGUUGGCUAAUCCUGGUCGGACAUCAGGAGGUUAGUGCAAUGGCAUAAGCCAGCUUGACUGCGAGCGUGACGGCGCGAGCAGGUGCGAAAGCAGGUCAUAGUGAUCCGGUGGUUCUGAAUGGAAGGGCCAUCGCUCAACGGAUAAAAGGUACUCCGGGGAUAACAGGCUGAUACCGCCCAAGAGUUCAUAUCGACGGCGGUGUUUGGCACCUCGAUGUCGGCUCAUCACAUCCUGGGGCUGAAGUAGGUCCCAAGGGUAUGGCUGUUCGCCAUUUAAAGUGGUACGCGAGCUGGGUUUAGAACGUCGUGAGACAGUUCGGUCCCUAUCUGCCGUGGGCGCUGGAGAACUGAGGGGGGCUGCUCCUAGUACGAGAGGACCGGAGUGGACGCAUCACUGGUGUUCGGGUUGUCAUGCCAAUGGCACUGCCCGGUAGCUAAAUGCGGAAGAGAUAAGUGCUGAAAGCAUCUAAGCACGAAACUUGCCCCGAGAUGAGUUCUCCCUGACCCUUUAAGGGUCCUGAAGGAACGUUGAAGACGACGACGUUGAUAGGCCGGGUGUGUAAGCGCAGCGAUGCGUUGAGCUAACCGGUACUAAUGAACCGUGAGGCUUAACCU